Suricata suricatta (meerkat) is the source of this 795-nucleotide long non-coding RNA. RefSeq lists it as uncharacterized. The record is from RefSeq and is a predicted model, not a curated record. The transcript has 3 exons. Lineage: Eukaryota; Metazoa; Chordata; Mammalia; Carnivora; Herpestidae.
CGGCCGGAGGCCUGCCUGGGGGGCGGGAGGGGGGCGAAGCUGCAGGAAAUCGUGUCCUAAACCGCCUGCUGGCAGAGGUGACGGGGUCCCAGGUGGAGAGGGGGAGGCUGAGGCACCAGGACCCGACGCCGCGUUCUGGGACCUGCCAACGGCGGAGCUGGAGCACCGAGGGGCGACGGCAGAGCGUCCUCACCGCGGGAGCCGACCGGUCCAGGUGGUUCGGGAACUCGGAUUUCCAGGACUGUCUACGGGAACCCACCGCCGAGAAACCCUGACCCGCAAGCCCUCCAAGCAGUGACCGCGGGGACGCGGGGCUGGGAAAUCGGAGUGAGAGCCGAGGUUUUGCACCUGCCUGGCGUUCUGGGAAGUGUGCGCGCCUGGUGACCCGCGAGCAAAUCUGGAAGGAGGGAAGAGUGCUGGAGAGCAAGGAGCGCAGAGCUGAGGCUGCGGCCCGCAGGGGUGCGGACGUGCGGGCUGCUCCGGGCGCAGACCCGCGCGCAGCUGGGCCCCCGCCGCGCCCCGCAUCCCUCCUCCCGCCGGGGAGCCUCCCGUGUGUUCCCGCACUGGGGUGGUGGGCCCGCACUGUCUCCGCAAACCCGAGUCGUCCAAAGUAACGAUGGUCUUUUCCCUCCCUGUGGCCGGUGGUGGUUUGCAGGGAAGGUACGUGACCCUCUGGCGGACGCGCACACAGCCAGUCCGCGUCAGGACCGGUUUUCUCAGGAUAAAAAGAGAAAUACGAGAGGUCAACUAUGCGUCUUCGUUUAGCCUUGCGAUUCGAUUUUCAAGGAAUAUGGU